Meleagris gallopavo (turkey) is the source of this 5315-nucleotide non-coding RNA. Lineage: Eukaryota; Metazoa; Chordata; Aves; Galliformes; Phasianidae. The record is from RefSeq and is a predicted model, not a curated record.
GUCAAAUUCCUUUAUCGAUACAGAAAGCACUGCUGCCUGUUUCUGCUGGUUGCAGGACUGUGCAUAGCCAAUGUGUCAAAAUGCAUAAAAUUAUUUGCCAUAAUUUGAGCCAGCACUGUAUACUGUGCCCUUCCUGUGCCCCAGAUAAUGUUGGUCAGACAGCAGUGUUUGGUUGUUGCUGAACAAUCUGGGUGUGCAUUUGGAGCCAGGCUGAGUCACUCGGUGUGGAAGAACCACUAGCACAGUGGUGUGACAGCUGUGGGAUGGGCUGCAGUAAGAGCUGUGCCAGGCAACAUAGCCUACAGGCCUUGGGUUGGACAUGCCUGCAGUAAGGUUUGGGUCUCCUGUCAGUCCUAUGGCCUGUCUGCCAGGUCAGUAGUAGUCUUUUGAGAACUGUUCCCGCAUGAUAUGAGUGUUGUACCUAUAGCCACUCUAGAGUCCUAGAAGCCUUGCUGAUGUAUUUGGAAGUGGAAGAGCUGUAGCAGUGUGUGUUGUGCCAGGCAUUGCAGCCAGCAGAAAAGCCACAAGAACGUGAAUGUAGCAUAGUAUUUUCCGUGUAGCCAAAGCCCAGGAUCUAGUCACUGGCUCUUGUGGCUUUGGAUACUUUGGUCAGCUUCUGUAUUUAGAAAUUUCUCUUGAAGUUGUAAAGUUUCUUCUAAGAAGCAAACGAUCUAAAUGAAUGGCUGAGUUGGGAAAAUGCAGCAGGCUUCUUAAAGGCAAAAAUUAUGCAAAGACUGCCACUGAGAAGUUUUUCAUUUGAAAUCUAAUUGAAAUAAUGUAAAUAAACAUUGCAUUACUAGCAUUCUUUUCAUGCAAUAUUAGCAGCUUUAAAACAAACAACUAUUCUUUUUAACUUUGCGUUUUUUCUUUCUUUUUUGUCUUCAAACAGGGACGAGGAUGGUAACCCCAGCAUCUUUAAGAAAACUGCUGGAGUCUUGUAAAGAUCUUUCUUUACUCGAUGUGUCCUUCUGUUCACAGAUUGAUAACAGAGUUGUCCUAGAACUGAAUGCCAACUUUCCUAAUGUGUUCAUAAAGAAGAGUUUCACCCAGUGACUCACUACAUAUGCUGCUAUGGAAUCCCUUUGACAGUUAUUUCCUGUGAAUUUGUGCUGAUUUUUUUAUGAAGAGUUAUGAAAUAGUGGAUUGCAUUAAUUAUUUGCACAAAUGGAUGUAGUGAUGUUUUACAGUCCAGCCUAAGUGACACAACAGAUAAAUUCAAGAACCUUCCACCUGAACUUGUAGCAGAAAUGAAAGAGAAAAUUGCCAGCUGCUUCUUGGUGUUGGAUAUAAAGUUUGAGCUGUACACAGUGUCAUAACUGAUGUGUAGAAAACUCCAGACCAAUUUUCUUUACACAGGCAAGACGGUUGGUUUGUAUACAUCUAAUUACCCUGCACAGCAUGUAAAAUAUAGUACUUAAGUUAAUGCAUUAGCACAUGUCCCUUGCACAGGAAUAAAAUCUGUCAAGUUGUAAGAACAAGCAUGUUUGUUCAGUAAAACAGCAAUGAAAGUAGUUUUGGAAGGAGAGCAAUGCGUUUUGGUGAUUUAGUUUUAUAAGGUAUUGGAUUUGGGUUUUUUUGGUGUGUUUCCUUCUUUCCCCAGAAGUGAGAGCUCUAAGUACUGUUGUACUCUCUCUCAUCAGCACUAUUGAAAUGUUGAAGAAGGAAAACUGUUGAUGAACUAUUUACAGGGUUUCUUCCUUUUGCACUUCCUUGGAUGAAGCUUUUCUCUUUUUUUCUUUAAUACCACUGCUAGAAUAUGUUGCUGUGUACAUCAAGAGUUGAGGGUUGUUUUUUUUUUUACCUAUUUAGCUAUUACUGAUGAAUAUGGACCAUGAAAUACAGCUUGUCGUUUGAUAUUGGCUCCACUGUUACUGUCGCGAUGGCACUUACUACCUACUGGAAGAAGAGGGAAAAUAUUCAUCUGGCAGAAAUACAUUAUUGCACUGAGGACCACUGGCAAAGAAUACUUCAUUUCAUGCAGUAAAUAACCAUCCAGUGGUAGAGGACUUCUACAAAUUGUUAAAGAUUUGACAAUCUCUGCAACUCCUGAAUGAACACUCUGAACUCUUGUGCAGGUGCCAAUACUUUUCAAACUGUGUCACAAAACAACUAGAAACCCGUAUCUGAUUUUUAUAAAAAGACCUCAUUCUUUUGAUUUUUUUUUUUUAGUGUUACAGAAUCUUUUGGGAAUUCCAGAUCCAAAGAAGGGCAAUGCACAGUUGGCUUCUUGUUUUAUUUUUUUCCUCUGCACAGAUGGCACUAUGGGAUUUCCAGCCAUAUCCAUUCCACUUUUUUUUUUGGUUGUUUGUUUCUAGUAACCUGGACAAUGUCAGAGAACUUUAAAUUCAGAUUUUGUUUUCCCCACUGACAGAUGUCAACUUUGGCAUGGUUCUGUGUGAAACCUCAUUUCUUUCAAUCAGAUUUAGGUUGAUUUACUUUUCUGGGAACUUUUAAUAUAUAUAUAUAUUUUUUAUCAAUAAGUAAUAUUUUUCAUUGUAAUUUAAUGUUGAAGGCUGUUGUCAAUAUUGUUAAUAUUGAAUUGUUAUUGUCUACAGGUAUUAUCUACCUGUAGAAGAAUACAGGCUUGGAUAAUGGGACUUUAGAAAGAAUAGUAUUUUUAAAAAAAUGUUUUUGUUGAAAAAUUUCACUUCUCAGGGUGCAUCUGUGUUUAUCUUUUUUGUUUUUUUUCUUAAGAGAUCUUGUUUUCCACUGUAAAUAGGAUGGGAUACGGAUGAAGUGAUAUCCAUUGUGCCUUUAAACUGGUAAACUAAAUAGUACAGAGUCAUUGCUGUAGCAUCAGUGAAUCAAAUAAGUGUUUUUGUAAUCAUGUAUGUGUGAAGGAUUUCAUUCUCUAUUGCUUUUUAGGUGGUAUAAAGGAGGUUUAAAUUGACAUUUAGUUGUUCAUACUGAGGGAUUUUUUCUUUCUUUUGUGCCUUCUGUUUAAAGCUGGUUUUAUCAGAAGUUCUCUACUGUAACUUGAAAGAUAAAUUGAAAUCUACUCUUUAUUUGGGCUAUUUAAAACUUGGCUGUUGCUAAUGUAAUUAAUUCAAAUAGCUGAGAAAUAAUUGGGAAAGACUUUCGUCUAUAAUUGUACACUUUAACCUUCAAUCAGUGGGUAAAAAUCUUUUAGCUAUGGCUUUAUACCUCCAAAAUGUCUUCCAGCAAAGCGAGGAAAGACUGGACUUCAUAUUACCGAUAUUUCCAAGAUAAGAAAAUGAGAUACUUUUAUACCUUCCUUAUGUUACAAUGAAGUAAACGUAAGUUGCUGUAUUUUGUGGUUGUUUUAUUUUAUAUUUAGGUGUGUAUAUAUGUACACACGUAUGUACAUUUAUAUAUACACUUAUGUAUAAAUCUCAACAUUUUUCAUGUAAGAAUUACUUGAGUGAAGUACACAUAACAGCAGGAGGUGUUUUCUAGCAGCUGUGUUUUAAAAUGUUGUUCUACAGCUGAUGGAGAGGACCGCGUUUCUCUCCAUCUGUGCAGCAGGAAAAACCUGGGGCCUGGGCAGUACAGGUGUGCUGGAUUUCCUGUGUUGCUUUGCCAAAGUGCCUUUUGUUUGUCUAGAGGUGAGAGAUAUUACAAGGUAUGGUAGAGUGUGAAUGCAAAGUCCGAUAACUACUGUGGUCUCUCUCCAUGUGAAGUGGUCAUAUAGAGGGAAAUUUGUUUUAGUUUCAUUUAAUCCAAAGUGAAUGAUGCCAAUUGUUCUGGAACUGAGUGGUCUUUUCCAAUGGUCAGCCAUCCCUUGGUCACGUUAUCUAAAUUCUGCUUUUAAGGAUACUCCACUUUUUUUUUAUCUUGUCUUUUGAUGUUGUCUAUCUUUCCUAAUCAUUGUAAAAGAUGUGUUUCAGCAAUGAAUGUUAAAAAAUGCAUUGCUAAAAUGCCUUUAAAAAAAAAAAAGUGACAUGCUGUGAAGUUCUCCUGUUCUUAAACUAAAGGGGGAUUUGCUGUAGUGUAUGGAUGAAGUUGGCAUGAGCUGUCAUAUAGAGAGAUAAGUCAUUCAUUCUGGUCAUGUUUAAUGUCAAUGGGAAUUUUACCAUUUAAAACAUCUUCCCAAAUUUUGAUGUUUCUAAUUCAGUGUUGUACUUUCACCGUAUUCAUAAUCAUGAAUUGUUUUGGUUGACAAAAUAGCUUUCUGGACACGGAUGAAGCUGCUUAUGUUUAAAUUAUGCACUUGAUUAAGUACAUUGCUGUGCAGGACUUGUGUAGAAGAACAACUUUUCACAGCAGUUUGAAACUUUUAAUCCCUAUGUACUUAGAGAUCCAAAUUUGAGACAAAAAAAAAAAAAGCCCCAACAAAAUAGGGGAAGCUCAUUGUAUUUCUUGCCCAAUUGUUAGGGCUCUCGUGUCAUCUUUUCCAGAUAUAAGCUGUCCAGUAAUCGUGGUACAUAGUGAGUGGAACUCAGUAAGUGCUUUUUCUCUGAAAGUUAGACAUCUGGUUUAAGUGAGGAAUCUGGGCACCUCUAGAGAGCUAUUAAUCUCCUCCUUAGAUGUUUGAGAAAAGUCAUAUGAAUUGUUUCCUCGGGCCUCCCUGAGGAGGCUCUGGAAGCUGUGAUUUAGUUCAGGUUAGAUACUUUGAUUUAGAAUACUAACCUGAGGUUAAUUCCACCCAGCAUUGUACUAUCAGCCUUGGAAUAGCAAAAGAAGUUAGAACAACAUCCAUCCCCAAACAUCAAAACUUUCAAAAAUCUAUCCAGAAGGAAGCAAAUUAAGGAGAAGCUGGCUUGAAAAGUCUGUCUUUAUAAAGCCAGGAACUGCUUCUACUCUGGAAUCCCUUGCCAAUGUCCAGGGUGUCUUUUUCUUAAAUUGAAAUGCAUCCCCUUUCUCUAUUUUAAAACAUCAUCUACUUAUCUAUCUGGCUAUAUGUAUAGUUCUGUAAAUGCAUGAGAUUAACUGGAAAACAUAAUUAAUAUAUUGCAGUUAUUUUUAUAAUCUUUCAUAUUGCUGUAAUUAAGACUAUGACUACUUUAAGUGCUCUCCUGUCAUCAGAAAUGUUACCCACUGUGCACUUGCAAAAUUGUGUGUUUAGUCCUAAUUUAUACUGUGUGUACUUACUGCAUCUUAUGGGAUAUGUUUCACAGGUGAAAUCUGCAGGACUGCUAAAUUUACAAAAACUAGAUAAAAUGUAGCAUUUUCUUAUAUGGAGCUUGGGAGUGGCUUUAUGUACUGAUUUACAUGUUCAUUAUUACUCUUUUGCAAUGAUUCUAUAUGUUGUAGCUUUUGAUAUUGCUAGGCUAAAGAUUCCUGGUUCAAUGCAUCUGUACAUGCUGUGUUAGACAUGGACAACUUUUUUCCAAAAUAAAAGUGUUUGUCUUUCA